RNAcentral lists this non-coding RNA (98 nucleotides) under Cynara cardunculus (cardoon). Lineage: Eukaryota; Viridiplantae; Streptophyta; Magnoliopsida; Asterales; Asteraceae. RNAcentral also lists the same sequence under 1 other name. The record is from miRBase by way of RNAcentral.
UGGAUGUCCCUUCUUAACCUUCUGAACGCAACCCAACCUCAGUUAGUUGAUUAACUGGGUUGGAUUCCGGUGAGAAGCGUAAGAAGGGAUCCCCACCC